RNAcentral lists this unclassified non-coding RNA (240 nucleotides) under soil metagenome. Its description in RNAcentral is "partial contains 5.8S ribosomal RNA, internal transcribed spacer 2, and large subunit ribosomal RNA". The record is from RNAcentral.
AACGGUCUAUACCUGCGGUACCUGCGGAGGGAUCACUGAUGAGAGGGAGAAAUGGGGUGCGUGGGGAGAUGUGGGGAAGUGGGGGGUUAGUGGGGAUGUUUGAGAAAUCGAACAAUCCACAUACUUUUCACUCUCCACAAUCCCCACACCACACCCAUAUUCACACGCUUGCUGGUUUGACUGUAUCUUUCCAAUACAUACACAACUUUCAACAACGGAUCUCUAGAUCGGAAGAGCACA